This 497-nucleotide ribosomal RNA is filed under the name uncultured bacterium. RNAcentral describes it as "partial 16S ribosomal RNA". It matches the Rfam family "Bacterial small subunit ribosomal RNA", at positions 28 to 507 of the family's 1533-position model. The record is from RNAcentral.
GAUGAACGCUGGCGGCGUGCCUAAUACAUGCAAGUCGAGCGAACAGACGAGGAGCUUGCUCCUCUGACGUUAGCGGCGGACGGGUGAGUAACACGUGGAUAACCUACCUAUAAGACUGGGAUAACUUCGGGAAACCGGAGCUAAUACCGGAUAAUAUAUUGAACCGCAUGGUUCAAUAGUGAAAGACGGUUUUGCUGUCACUUAUAGAUGGAUCCGCGCCGCAUUAGCUAGUUGGUAAGGUAACGGCUUACCAAGGCAACGAUGCGUAGCCGACCUGAGAGGGUGGUCGGCCACCCUGGAACUGAGACACGGACCAGACUCCUACGGGAGGCAGCAGUAGGGGAUCUUCCGCAAUGGGCGAAAGCUUGACGGAGCAACGCCGCGUGAGUGAUGAAGGUCUUCGGAUCGUAAAACUCUGUUAUUAGGGAAGAACAAAUGUGUAAGUAACUAUGCACGUCUUGACGGUACCUAAUCAGAAAGCCACGGCUAACUACGUG